RNAcentral lists this long non-coding RNA (1059 nucleotides) under Oryctolagus cuniculus (rabbit). RNAcentral's name for it is "lncRNA (ENSOCUG00000034508.1)". Lineage: Eukaryota; Metazoa; Chordata; Mammalia; Lagomorpha; Leporidae. The record is from RNAcentral.
AUGUGCUCUGUGUGCUCUGAGCAGGGGGCCCACCAGGGUCUGCAUUCGGAGCCCCGCUGGACCCAGCGCCUUCCCUCGCCCCGUGCCCGGGAGCAGCCUGAAGGCCCCGGCCGCGGUGCCUGGGCAGGGUGGGUGGGAGAGGCUCAGGGUGCAGCCAAGGUCAGCGCCAAGGGGCCCCGAGGAGCCUGGGGUCUGGGUCUGUGCCUGCCUGGCCAGCGUCACCCCUCCCAUCAGCAGCCCCCUCUGUCUGCUUGCUUCAGGGUGGGGGUCGUACCCGGGUGUCUGGGAGCCCUGGACAGGCCCUCGCUGUCCCCGUCUUGCCUGGGGCGCAGCCCGGAGGUGGGGCUCACGGAUUGUUCCAGGCCAAUGGAAGAGGAAGGAAGCCCCGAAGGGCAGGGGCCUGUUGGGGGGGCCGACUCCCGCUCUGUCACCAGUGUCCAUCUCCCCAGGGCCGGCCCCUUGGGAUCGGCACAAGAACUCACAGGGUUGGCCCGUGUGGAGAGGCUCAGCCAGCCUGGGCCGGGGACCCCCAGUGACGGAUGCAGAAACUGGGAAGCCAGGCUCAGGUGGAGGGCGGGGGUCACGCCUCUGACAAGGCCCCAUGUGGGGAGCACGGCGCGGGCUGGGCUGGGUCUGGGGACCUCCCUCGCACCCGCAAACUGGCUCGGUCUGGACCGACCCCCAAGAACAGCCUUCCCGCUCCUGGGGGCCACACUGCCCCUCCCCGCUGCUCUGGUGACCAUACCCCUGCUGGGGUGCCCUCCAAGAACCGAGGCCACCUGGGCCUGUGGAACCCACAGGUCCGUGUCUGAUCCCCCUCAGCGGGGGCCCUGUUCUGGUUGGGGUGUGCCUCUGCCUCCGCAUCUCACACAGGAUGGAGCCCUGGCUGACCUCAGCACACUCUUGACAGUGAACGAGUGGCCCCUGGACACGCGGGUCAGGGCGAGGGGAUGCCCUCCAUGCCAGGGACUCUGCGGGGCCGAGUCGACAGCCCCUGGCCCUCGGGGACAGAGGCCUCCGGCCCCCGAGCCCUGCAGAGAGACAGCUUCACCACCGUGA